Molecule: long non-coding RNA, 1885 nt
Organism: Alosa sapidissima (American shad)
Lineage: Eukaryota; Metazoa; Chordata; Actinopteri; Clupeiformes; Clupeidae
Exons: 6
Source: RefSeq, a predicted model, not a curated record
ACAAGGCGCGGCCAAGAGCUCCUUCACACGUGCAGACAAAGAGACCUAACAACACAACCAAAAUAUGCACUUUCAAACUUUUUGCACCCAGAUAAUCUCGCAUGGAAACACAGACAAAUGCAACGCUGGACCCAGGCCGCACUCACCGCAAAUAUGGAAUGCUCAUAUUUUGGAUGGAAAUAGCUCUUGGAUGGAUUUUAGGGGAUUUACCAGUGACAUUUUGGCAAAGAAGCCCCCUGGAAUAGUGGAAUACUGCUGCGCAGCGACAUUUGGAUUACAAUCUCCUCCGGCAACUGGAAUAUGAACAUCAGCUUGAAGUGAUAGCCUACUCUAAUCGCCUGAGACUCAGACGCUCUAUAAAAGCCGUGGAGCCAAAACCCAAAGCGCGGUUUGAAUCAUUUGAGCCCGAGAGAGCGGUUUUCUUCCACGCCUCCUCCUGUACUUACUGCACUGAAAGACAGCCCUGGGCCCUGGGAAAGUCCCCCUCAGAACCGUGACCGGGAGUCAUGCAGCCAAUGAAUGUGGCUAUUCACCAACGCAUCACCAUAGAGAUGGACGUGGCCCUGACCCUGCCUGCCCCUGACCCUGAGGCCAGGACACUUCGCUUCACUUUGGCCCCCUCUUCAUGCGCCAGUGGCUGGAGAAGAGGAUGUGUUCCUCUGUGGCUCUGUCCGACGGCAGACGGGCAUUCAUCAUCAGACCAACGGAUGUGAAGACCAGAGGACAGAGAGAGAGAGAGAGAGAGAGAGAGAGAGAGAGAGAGAGAGAGAGAGAGGGAGGAGGAGGAGAAGCGAAAAGGAGAGGUGCGGAAGGCAGAAGAAAAGAGAUGGAGACAGAAGGACAGGAGGAAGAGUGUGCCAACGAAUAGUGAGGAAGUAGUUGGAGAAUGAGAGAUUCAUGAGACAGAUGGAUGGAGGGAUGGAGGAGAUGAAAGGAUGGAAGGAUGGAGGGGAUGGUGUUUUCCUGGUGUGAGAGGUGCUCCAGUCUCCAGAUGAAGGCAUCUACAAACUGUGGGGUGUUGGGGUAAUUGUAUGAGCCCCCAACCCCAACCAAGCUCUAGAGGCCCCCCGUAAACAAGGGCCCUAUUGAGGGAGGGGGUGGAGGUGUGGGGGGUGGUAGCCAUGUCUUCAUGGUCUAUCAAUAUCCCCACCACUGUGGGGUGUCAGACCACGGUGAACUUUGACCCUCAUGUCUCCUUACUCCACCCUUGAUGUCUUGUUUUCAGAAAUGACCCUUGACCCCCUUUGUGUCUCCUAUCCGGUAUUGGGCAGGAUAGUGUGUGUGUGUGUGUGUGUGUGUGUGUGUGCGCGUGCAUGCGGGUGCGCACGCUUGUGUGUGUGUGUGUAUGCUUGGGAAGGGGCAGGUGUUCCUUAGGGUAAAAAAACCCUAACAACCCUAACAAAGAAGUAAGUAAACGUAGAACUCACUGAUGGACAUAGAACAGAACACAUCUCUGUUCAGUGCAGAACACAUCUCUAUCCGGUACAGAGCUGUGGAAAAGAACACAUUCUCUUCAUCAUUCCCUUCAAUAACCUCAUGACCACAGGCAGAAAAGAACUAUGCAUUAUUCAACAAGGAAAACUAAUGUGCCUCUAUGUAUUUGAGAAAUAAUUCUGCCAUAGUAUUAAUGUUACAAAAAGAAAAAUCUUUUUUGUUGUGAAAGCAUUAAUGUGUUCUGUUAGAAGACCUGUUUUUUUGUGAGGCAGGUUGGAUCAGACUCUGGAUUCUGAAAGGAUUUUGGAAGACAUUUAAUCUGUUAAUCCUGUAAAAUAAAAGCCUUGAAAACACAAUUAAACACAAAGCCAAACUUUUCCGACGGCAACACAUCUGUGUCUACCCCUCCACUCUCCUCAUCCCCAAAUCAUAAAUCGAUUCUCCCUCCCUG